This 1097-nucleotide unclassified non-coding RNA is filed under the name Hevea brasiliensis (rubber tree). The record is from RNAcentral. Lineage: Eukaryota; Viridiplantae; Streptophyta; Magnoliopsida; Malpighiales; Euphorbiaceae.
AUCGACCUCAGUUCCACACUCAUUGAACAAACCACCAUAAAGUCCCUGAUGAACUAAUGAGCUUGUGCAACCAGUCUCUGUGAAUUAUGACCAGUUCUCAGACCUUUAUAUUACACAUGAGUAACAAUGUCUACUACCAGUCAUUAUUUCUUCUCCACCUACCACGGCUACUGUUACCAAAUCGCGAUGCUGACGACCUAUGGUAAUGCUGAUAUUUGCCUGACCCAUAAGAAGUUGAAUGAUCAAAAUCACCGGAUGUUGAAAAUCUAUGGUGAUGAUAAUUGCCUGACCCAUAAGAAGCGGAAUUAUCAAAAUCAAGCCUGUUGGACUUUCUGGAUGAACGGGAAACAGAAGCAUGACCACCAGAACUGGAGUUCGAAAUCUUAGCUCUCUUGUUUCUAGGAGUCGAAGGAGAUCUCCAAUUAUUAGAUUGGGGAUAGUCUUCAAGAUCAUCCGGGACCCAACCGCCCCUUCGUUUCACCUUAUAGCCCGACGUAUAUCCGCCUUCAGUUUUUCCUUUCUUCUUCCAUGCCCUACCAAAAUCACGAGGUACAGACUUGAACUCUUUUUGCUCAUUUCUUUUCUUGGAGUCGAAGGAGAUCUCCAAUUAUUAGAUUGGGGAUAGUCUUCAAGAUCAUCCGGGACCCAACCGCCCCUUCGUUUCACCUUAUAGCCCGACGUAUAUCCGCCUUCAGUUUUUCCUUUCUUCUUCCAUGCCCUACCAAAAUCACGAGGUACAGACUUGAACUCUUUUUGCUCAUUUCUUUUCUUGGGGACUUUCUUCUUGGGGGUUGAUAAUUCAUGUUUCCGCUUAUUGACUCUGCUGGGAUUAGUACAUUCGCGUGCAAAAUGACCUUCUUCACCACAUCUAUAGCAGGGAUUAAGUGACCCAGUACAGCUAGUCUCCGCACGAGAUGCUGUGCAUGCCAAACCAGUAUGGCCUACUAAACCGCAUCUGUAACAGGAAAAUUCUCUCGGACCACUAUCAGGGUAUUUUGCACAGCAAAGAUGGCCAAAACUCUUACAGAUGUAACACAGUAUUUCCUUUAAAUCAUCGUUAGAAUAGUUGUUCCUGCAUGAAAACAUUUCAUGGCCAG